RNAcentral lists this unclassified non-coding RNA (210 nucleotides) under Hevea brasiliensis (rubber tree). The record is from RNAcentral. Lineage: Eukaryota; Viridiplantae; Streptophyta; Magnoliopsida; Malpighiales; Euphorbiaceae.
UAACUUUCUCGAGAAGCUAGGAUUGGAAACUCAAACAACGCACGAGGAAUAAAAGGACACUGGUAGAUACUUGUAAAAUAACCAAUACUAAGACAUUCAACAGAAAAGGACUCAUCAACAUAGAGAAAUUAGGAAACAUAAUCAGCCUUAAUUUGGCUCCAACACAUAAUACAGCAACAUGGACUAAAAUUAAACUAAAUAGAAAAGGAA